This 336-nucleotide ribosomal RNA is filed under the name Escherichia coli. RNAcentral describes it as "bacterial SSU rRNA". It matches the Rfam family "Bacterial small subunit ribosomal RNA", at positions 1 to 332 of the family's 1533-position model. Lineage: Bacteria; Pseudomonadati; Pseudomonadota; Gammaproteobacteria; Enterobacterales; Enterobacteriaceae. The record is from RNAcentral.
AAAUUGAAGAGUUUGAUCAUGGCUCAGAUUGAACGCUGGCGGCAGGCCUAACACAUGCAAGUCGAACGGUAACAGGAAGCAGCUUGCUGCUUCGCUGACGAGUGGCGGACGGGUGAGUAAUGUCUGGGAAACUGCCUGAUGGAGGGGGAUAACUACUGGAAACGGUAGCUAAUACCGCAUAAUGUCGCAAGACCAAAGAGGGGGGACCUUCGGGCCUCUUGCCAUCGGAUGUGCCCAGAUGGGAUUAGCUUGUUGGUGGGGUAACGGCUCACCAAGGCGACGAUCCCUAGCUGGUCUGAGAGGAUGACCAGCCACACUGGAACUGAGACACGGUCC